AUUUUUAUAGUUUAAAUAAAACAUUACAUUUUCAAUGUAAAAAUAAAAUUUAAUUUUUUUUUAAAUA
RNAcentral lists this transfer RNA (67 nucleotides) under Sabethes undosus. Its description in RNAcentral is "tRNA-Glu". Lineage: Eukaryota; Metazoa; Arthropoda; Insecta; Diptera; Culicidae. The record is from RNAcentral.